This 488-nucleotide ribosomal RNA is filed under the name uncultured bacterium. Its description in RNAcentral is "partial 16S ribosomal RNA". It matches the Rfam family "Bacterial small subunit ribosomal RNA", at positions 38 to 505 of the family's 1533-position model. The record is from RNAcentral.
AGGGAAAGAGGGAGGAAGGUAGAACACAUGCAAGUCGAAUGGUAACAGGAAACAGCUUGCUGUUUCGCUGACGAGUGGCGGACGGGUGAGUAAUGUCUGGGAAACUGCCUGAUGGAGGGGGAUAACUACUGGAAACGGUAGCUAAUACCGCAUAACGUCGCAAGACCAAAGAGGGGGACCUUCGGGCCUCUUGCCAUCAGAUGUGCCCAGAUGGGAUUAGCUAGUAGGUGGGGUAACGGCUCACCUAGGCGACGAUCCCUAGCUGGUCUGAGAGGAUGACCAGCCACACUGGAACUGAGACACGGUCCAGACUCCUACGGGAGGCAGCAGUGGGGAAUAGGGCACAAUGGGCGCAAGCCUGAUGCAGCCAUGCCGCGUGUAUGAAGAAGGCCUUCGGGUUGUAAAGUACUUUCAGCGGGGAGGAAGGGAGUAAAGUUAAUACCUUUGCUCAUUGACGGUACCCGCAGAAGAAGCACAGGCGAACUACG